GACGAACGCUGGCGGCGUGCUUAAUACAUGCAAGUCGAACGGAAAGGCCCUGCUUUUGUGGGGUGCUCGAGUGGCGAACGGGUGAGUAACACGCGAGUAACCUGCCCUUGACUUUGGGAUAACUUCAGGAAACUGGGGCUAAUACCGGAUAGGAGCUCCUGCUGCAUGGUGGGGGUUGGAAAGUGUCGGCGGUUGGGGGUGGACUCGCGGCUUAUCAGCUUGUUGGUGGGGUAGUGGCUGACCAAGGCUAUGACGGGUAGCCGGCCUGGGAGGGUGGCCGGCCACCUUGGUCCUGCGAUAGGGCCCAGUCUCCUACGGGAGGCAGCAGUGGAGAACAUUGCACAGUGGGCGGAAGCCUGAUGCGGCAACGCCGCGUGCGUGAUGCCGGCCUUCGGGUUGUAAACCGCUUUCGACUGUGCCGAGGCGUGAGUGACGGUAAUGGGUAAAGAAGCCCCGGCUAACUACGUG
Molecule: ribosomal RNA, 468 nt
Filed under: uncultured bacterium
Lineage: Bacteria
Description: partial 16S ribosomal RNA
Rfam family: Bacterial small subunit ribosomal RNA
Source: RNAcentral